This 245-nucleotide ribosomal RNA is filed under the name uncultured Gardnerella sp. RNAcentral's name for it is "partial 16S ribosomal RNA". It matches the Rfam family "Bacterial small subunit ribosomal RNA", at positions 111 to 355 of the family's 1533-position model. Lineage: Bacteria; Bacillati; Actinomycetota; Actinomycetes; Bifidobacteriales; Bifidobacteriaceae. The record is from RNAcentral.
UAAUGCGUGACCAACCUCGCCCCAUGCUCCAGAAUAGCUCUUGGAAACGGGUGGUAAUGCUGGAUGCUCCAACUUGACGCAUGUCUUGUUGGGAAAGUGUUUAGUGGCAUGGGAUGGGGUCGCGUCCUAUCAGCUUGUAGGCGGGGUAAUGGCCCACCUAGGCUUCGACGGGUAGCCGGCCUGAGAGGGCGGACGGCCACAUUGGGACUGAGAUACGGCCCAGACUCCUACGGGAGGCAGCAGCU